AAAUGAAUUGACGGGGACCCGCACAAGCGGUGGAUGAUGUGGUUUAAUUCGACGCAACGCGAAAAACCUUACCUACCCUUGACAUGUCUGGAAUUUUGCAGAGAUGCGAAAGUGCUCGAAAGAGAGCCAGAACACAGGUGCUGCAUGGCCGUCGUCAGCUCGUGUCGUGAGAUGUUGGGUUAAGUCCCGCAACGAGCGCAACCCUUGUCAUUAGUUGCUACGAAAGGGCACUCUAAUGAGACUGCCGGUGACAAACCGGAGGAAGGUGGGGAUGACGUCAGGUCAUCAUGGCCCUUAUGGGUAGGGCUACACACGUCAUACAAUGGCCGGUACAGAGGGCAGCCAACCCGCGAGGGGGAGCCAAUCCCAGAAAACCGGUCGUAGUCCGGAUCGCAGUCUGCAACUCGACUGCGUGAAGUCGGAAUCGCUAGUAAUCGCGGAUCAGCUUGCCGCGGUGAAUACGUUCCCGGGUCUUGUACACACCGCCCGU
This 490-nucleotide ribosomal RNA is filed under the name uncultured bacterium. RNAcentral's name for it is "bacterial SSU rRNA". It matches the Rfam family "Bacterial small subunit ribosomal RNA", at positions 903 to 1397 of the family's 1533-position model. The record is from RNAcentral.